Molecule: ribosomal RNA, 320 nt
Filed under: uncultured eukaryote
Lineage: Eukaryota
Description: partial 18S ribosomal RNA
Rfam family: Eukaryotic small subunit ribosomal RNA
Source: RNAcentral
CCCCUAGAUGUUCUGGGCCGCACGCGCGCUACACUGAACAGUUCAACAAGUCUUAACCUUGGCCGAUAGGUCUGGGUAAUCUUUGAACGCUGUUCGUGAUUGGGAUAGACCUUUGCAAUUAUGGGUCUUCAACGAGGAAUUCCUAGUAAACGCAAGUCAUCAGCUUGCAUUGAUUACGUCCCUGCCCUUUGUACACACCGCCCGUCGCACCUACCGAUUGAAUGGUCCGGUGAAAUCUCGGGGCGGCGGCUUGGUCGCUUGCGUCCGACUGCUGAAACUUGAUUAAACCAUAUCAUUUAGAGGAAGAUGAAGUCGUANCA